UCCCCCUUAGCUCAGUCGGUAGAGCACCUGACUGUUAAUCAGGGUGUCGCUGGUUCAAGUCCAGCAGGGGGAG
Molecule: transfer RNA, 73 nt
Filed under: Ruminococcus sp.
Lineage: Bacteria; Bacillati; Bacillota; Clostridia; Eubacteriales; Oscillospiraceae
Description: tRNA-Asn
Rfam family: tRNA
About the family: Transfer RNA (tRNA) molecules are approximately 80 nucleotides in length.
Source: RNAcentral